CGCAGCUUAAACAACAAAACUGACUGCUCUUGCCCCCGCAGUCUGAACUCCUUGGAGACUUUGCCAUGGGGUGCGGGCUUAGGAAGCUGGAAGACCCUGAUGAAAGCAGCCCUGGAAAGAUAUUUUCUACCCUGAAGAGACCGCAAGUGGAAACAAAGACAGAAUUUGCUUAUGAAUAUGCACUGCUGGAUUUUACUUUACAAGGUACUCCUUACUGCUGUUGUAGCUAUUAUCCGUUUCCAAACUAAGAGGAUACUAAUUUUCUGAGGUGUGGACCUGUGGAUUCUUAAGCUCUUUCCCAUAAUGAAAUUGGUCCAUCUAACAAUGACGCUUUGUUUCUUAACUAUAUUUGGGAAGAUUUUGUUUUGUUUUGUUUUGUUUUAUGUGCUUUUUAAAAACACGGCUUUAUGUACUUAACAAAAUUUUUAAAAAACUACUUGGAAAUGUUCCUUUCAUUUUUAAGGCACAUGGGACAAAUAUUUGAUUUCUAGGCCAAAUUGCUGGAGCCUUAAUGACAGCUUGUGUUUUGAAAAGAUUUGAAAGGCAGGGACUGCGGGGCUGUGGGCUGUGCUGCCUGCAUGAGUCGUCCGAGCUCCACCAAGGCAGAUCUGAGGUGGCCAGUGUGCUGAAUUUAGUGUCGCUCAUGUGAUAAGUUGAGCAAACUAAAGGUGGAGAAAAUU
RNAcentral lists this long non-coding RNA (680 nucleotides) under Rattus norvegicus (Norway rat). Its description in RNAcentral is "long non-coding RNA NONRATT030032". Lineage: Eukaryota; Metazoa; Chordata; Mammalia; Rodentia; Muridae. The record is from RNAcentral.